GACGAACGCUGGCGGCGUGCUUAACACAUGCAAGUCGAGCGGUAAGGCCCUUUCGGGGGUACGACGAGCGGCGAACGGGUGAGUAACACGUGGGUGACCUGCCCUCAGCUCUGGGAGUAAGCCGUGGGAAACCGGGGUCGUAAUACUGGAUAUGACUCCAUGACGCAUGUUGUGGGGUGGAAAACCUUAGUGCGGCUGAGGAUGGGCCCGCGGCCUAUCAGCUUGUUGGUGGGGUGAUGGCCUACCAAGGCGACGACGGGUAGCCGGCCUGAGAGGGCGACCGGCCACACUGGGACUGAGACACGGCCCAGACUCCUACGGGAGGCAGCAGUGGGGAAUCUUGCGCAAUGGGCGAAAGCCUGACGCAGCGACGCCGCGUGAGGGAUGACGGCCUGGUGU
Molecule: ribosomal RNA, 399 nt
Filed under: uncultured bacterium
Lineage: Bacteria
Description: bacterial SSU rRNA
Rfam family: Bacterial small subunit ribosomal RNA
Source: RNAcentral